GUAUAAGAGACAGGUGAGUCAUCGAAUCUUUGAACGCAUCUUGCGCUCCCUGGCAUUCCGGGGAGCAUGCCUGUUUCAGUAUCAGUUCUUGAUAAAAUUUCAUUGAAAUUUGUUUGUGAAUGCUCUUUUGUCAAUAAAAGUCAUUUAAAAUCAAUUAAAAGCCCUGGUGUAAUAUGUUUUUUAACGAAAACUUCGCCUCGGAUUUUCUUUAUUAAUAACCAAAGCCGUUAAACGCUUUGAUCCUUGAUCUGAAAUCAGGCAAGACUACCCGCUGAACUUAAGCAUAUCAAUAAGCGGAGG
Molecule: unclassified non-coding RNA, 300 nt
Filed under: uncultured fungus
Lineage: Eukaryota; Fungi
Description: sequence contains 5.8S rRNA gene, ITS2
Rfam family: Eukaryotic large subunit ribosomal RNA (bases 245-300)
Source: RNAcentral